GCCCGGAUGGUGAAAUUGGUAGACACACAAGACUUAAAAUCUUGCGCCUUAACAGGCGUGCCGGUUCGAUUCCGGCUCCGGGCACCA
RNAcentral lists this transfer RNA (87 nucleotides) under Pseudomonadota bacterium. RNAcentral's name for it is "Proteobacteria bacterium (cold seep metagenome) tRNA-Leu". It matches the Rfam family "tRNA". From Rfam's summary of the family: Transfer RNA (tRNA) molecules are approximately 80 nucleotides in length. Their secondary structure includes four short double-helical elements and three loops (D, anti-codon, and T loops). Lineage: Bacteria; Pseudomonadati; Pseudomonadota. The record is from RNAcentral.